ACGUAGGAGACGAGCGUUAUCCGGAUUUACUGGGCGUAAAGCGCGUGUAGGAGGCGCUACAAGUUGGAUGUGAAAGCUCCCGGCUUAACUGGGAGAGGUCGUUCAAGACUGUAGAGCUAGAGUGAGGCAGAGGUAGAUGGAACUCCGGGAGUAGUGGUGAAAUGCGUAGAAAUCAGGAGGAAUACCAGUGGCGAAGGCGGCUUUCUGGACUGACCCUGACGCUGAGGUGCGAAAGCGUGGGUAGCAAACAGGAUUAGAUACCCGUGUA
RNAcentral lists this ribosomal RNA (268 nucleotides) under uncultured prokaryote. RNAcentral describes it as "partial 16S ribosomal RNA". It matches the Rfam family "Bacterial small subunit ribosomal RNA", at positions 525 to 792 of the family's 1533-position model. The record is from RNAcentral.